This 254-nucleotide unclassified non-coding RNA is filed under the name Hevea brasiliensis (rubber tree). Lineage: Eukaryota; Viridiplantae; Streptophyta; Magnoliopsida; Malpighiales; Euphorbiaceae. The record is from RNAcentral.
GCCAAACUGUAAAAUCGCACUUGUUGACAAAUGUAAAUUUAGCUCCAAAAGCUCCAUGGAACAUUAAGAGAACAGAGAAGACUAAGAAAAUGGAACAAGAAACAGAGUGAUUCCCAAACAAGUCCAUAAGAAAUGAAAAAACUAAUCAAUUUUUUUCUUUUGUUUUUCACUCAACACUUCUGAUUUUGUCCCUUAAUGUGGGUUUUUGUUGAUGGAAAUGGAAAUGGGUAUUUGGGAUUGGAACUUGUUUGUUG